ACAUAUGUUACUUGAACAGUAUCUGUUAUAUGGUCUUGUACCUCUGUAUUCUUCAGUUCUAAGGAGACAGGAACCUAAAUCUGGUGUAUGUAUUAGGACUGUGCAAUCAGUGUGAUUAACAGCUGAGAUUUCAUGAUCUGGGUCUCCCCAGCAGUAGAGGAUCAUUCUCACUCAUCCUUGAUCUGAUGUUUGAGAUGGUCAUACUGAUACAGUUGUCUGACAGACU
This 226-nucleotide small nucleolar RNA is filed under the name Nelumbo nucifera (sacred lotus). RNAcentral's name for it is "Plant small nucleolar RNA U3". It matches the Rfam family "Plant small nucleolar RNA U3". From Rfam's summary of the family: Small nucleolar RNAs (snoRNAs) are involved in the processing and modification of rRNA in the nucleolus. Lineage: Eukaryota; Viridiplantae; Streptophyta; Magnoliopsida; Proteales; Nelumbonaceae. The record is from Rfam by way of RNAcentral.